RNAcentral lists this unclassified non-coding RNA (322 nucleotides) under Agaricomycetes sp. RNAcentral's name for it is "partial contains 5.8S ribosomal RNA, internal transcribed spacer 2, and large subunit ribosomal RNA". Lineage: Eukaryota; Fungi; Basidiomycota; Agaricomycetes. The record is from RNAcentral.
CGCACCUUGCGCUCCUUGGCAUUCCGAGGAGCAUGCCUGUCUGAGCGUCGUUGACAUCUCAAGCGUCGGGCCACCUUUCUCCACGGAGGGUGCGCUUCCGAAGCUUGGAUUUGGAGGUUGACUCCCCUGCGAAGUCUGCGCUUCGCUCCUCCUAAAUUCAGCGGUCGCGGAAAGGUCUCGGGCCCGUCCGGCGUUAUUUAACAAAGCUCAUCGCUUGCGCCCCGGUCCUGAGACACGUCUCCCGGCCCCCCGUCGGUUUGCUUCGGCAUGCCUUCUUUGUGGACUUGACCUCAGAUCAGGUAGGAUUACCCGCUGAACUUAA